CCUACGGGAGGCACCAGUGGGGAAUAUUGCACAAUGGGCGCAAGCCUGAUGCAGCCAUGCCGCGUGUAUGAAGAAGGCCUUCGGGUUGUAAAGUACUUUCAGCGGGGAGGAAGGGAGUGAGGUUAAUAACCUUAUUCAUUGAGGUUGCCCGCAGAAGAAGCACCGGUUAACUCCGUGCCAGCAGCCGCGGUAAUACGGAGGGUGCAAGCGUUAAUCGGAAUUACUGGGCGCAAAGCGCACGCAGGCGGUCUGUCAAGUCGGAUGUGAAAUCCCCGGGCUCAACCUGGGAACUGCAUUCGAAACUGGCAGGCUGGAGUCUUGUAGAGGGGGGUAGAAUUCCAGGUGUAGCGGUGAAAUGCGUAGAGAUCUGGGGGAAUACCGGUGGCGAAGGCGGCCCCCUGGACAAAGACUGACGCUCAGGUGCGAAAGCGUGGGGAGCAAACAGGAUUAGAUACCCCAGUAGUC
Molecule: ribosomal RNA, 465 nt
Filed under: uncultured bacterium
Lineage: Bacteria
Description: bacterial SSU rRNA
Rfam family: Bacterial small subunit ribosomal RNA
Source: RNAcentral